GAUGAACGCUGGCGGCGUGCCUAAUACAUGCAAGUCGAGCGAACGGACGAGAAGCUUUCGUCUCUGCUGGUGGCGGCGGACGGGUGAGUAACACAUAGAUAACCUACCUCUUAGACUUGGAGAACAUCGUGAACACGGAGCUGAUACCAGCUCAUAUUUUGUACCGCAUGGUGCAAAAGAGCAUGGCGCUUUGCCCGUCACUUAUAGACGGAUCCGCGCUACAUUAGCUAGUUGGUAAGGUAACGGCAUACCAAGGCAACGAAGCAUAGCCGACCUGAGAGGAUGAUCAGCCACACUGGAACUGAGACACGGUCCAGACUACUACGGGAGGCAGCAGUAGGGAAUCUUCCGCAAUGGGCGAAAGCCUGACGGAGCAAUGCCGCGUGAGUGAUGAAGGUCUUCGGAUCGUAAAACUCUUUUAUUAGGGAAGAAAAGAUGCGUAAGUAAAUGCGCACAUCUUGACGGUACCUAAUCAGAAAGCCACGGCUAACUACGUG
Molecule: ribosomal RNA, 497 nt
Filed under: uncultured bacterium
Lineage: Bacteria
Description: partial 16S ribosomal RNA
Rfam family: Bacterial small subunit ribosomal RNA
Source: RNAcentral